This 253-nucleotide ribosomal RNA is filed under the name uncultured bacterium. Its description in RNAcentral is "partial 16S ribosomal RNA". It matches the Rfam family "Bacterial small subunit ribosomal RNA", at positions 524 to 776 of the family's 1533-position model. The record is from RNAcentral.
UACGUAGGGCGCAAGCGUUGUCCGGAAUUAUUGGGCGUAAAGAGCUCGUAGGCGGUCUGUCGCGUCCGUUGUGAAAACUCGAGGCUCGACCUCGGGCUUGCAGUGGAUACGGGCAGACUAGAGUGCGGUAGGGGAGACUGGAAUUCCUGGUGUAGCGGUGGAAUGCGCAGAUAUCAGGAGGAACACCGAUGGCGAAGGCAGGUCUCUGGGCCGCAACUGACGCUGAGGAGCGAAAGCAUGGGGAGCGAACAGG